RNAcentral lists this ribosomal RNA (492 nucleotides) under uncultured bacterium. RNAcentral describes it as "partial 16S ribosomal RNA". It matches the Rfam family "Bacterial small subunit ribosomal RNA", at positions 29 to 507 of the family's 1533-position model. The record is from RNAcentral.
AGUGAACGCUGGCGGUAUGCCUUACACAUGCAAGUCGAACGGCAGCAUAGUAUGGGCUUGCUCUUACAUGGGGCGAGUGGCGGACGGGUGAGAUAUACAUCGGCAUCUACUUUUUCGUGGGAGAUAAAGUAGGGAGACUUACUCUAAUACCGCAUACGACGUGGGGGAAAAAGCAGGGCAGCAUCGGAUCUUGCUAUAGUGACGGCGGCGAUGUCUGAUUAGCUAGUUGGCGGGGUAAAGGCUCACCAAGGCGACGAUCCGUAGCUGGUCUGAGAGGAUGAUCAGCCACACUGGAACUGAGACACGGUCCAGACUCCUACGGGAGGCAGCAGUGGGGAAUAUUGGACAAUGGGCGCAAGCCUGAUCCAGCCAUACCGCGUGGGUGAAGAAGGCCUUCGGGUUGUAAAGCCCUUUUGUUGGGAAAGAAAAGCAGCAGGUUAAUACCCCGCUGUUCUGACGGUACCCAAAGAAUAAGCACCGGCUAACUUCGUG